AGUGGUCAUAGCCACUAUAAAUAGGGCUUUAAGCUAUGAGCGUUCCCACUCUUACAGGGUGGGAGGUAGUC
This 71-nucleotide ribozyme is filed under the name unclassified sequences. RNAcentral's name for it is "pistol ribozyme". It matches the Rfam family "Pistol ribozyme". The record is from RNAcentral.